AUGCCAACGGGCCCACCGGCGUGCCCGUGCCCUUCUACCGUGCGGGCGGCUGCUCCGGCGGGGGUCGACGCCGCAGGUUGUGCGCGAGGAGGUGGACGACUUCCUGCGCUCCGAGAGGGGUUGCCGCCGUUGCAUGCUGCCGGAACAAGCAGCAAGGGAGCUUCCGCUUGGCGCGUGCGUCUCCUUCCUUCGGUAGAAGUAGCAGGUGAGGAAGAACCAGCUGCCGACGGGCGAGGGCAUGGGGUACCUGGAGGCCAAGCACCACCUGCUGCUCUUGUCUCACCCAUAACUUUGUUUAUAUGCCUGAUAAUGUCGAGAGCCGAUGACAACACGGUGAUGGAGGCGGUGGACUCGGAGGUGUCAGUGACGUGCACGGACAUGGGGCUGGUCCAGAAGGCGUUCCAGGCCCUGCUGUGCACCAAGCAGCACCCCAUUGACCGGCCGAUGAUGCACGAGGUGGCCCGGGUGCUUCUCUCGCUGAUGCCGGCCCCUGCCCUCCAGAGAACAAUCACGGUGUCUAUUUCUGCUUUAUGCUCCACGUUUCACUAA
This 549-nucleotide ribosomal RNA is filed under the name Triticum aestivum (bread wheat). RNAcentral's name for it is "partial small subunit ribosomal RNA". Lineage: Eukaryota; Viridiplantae; Streptophyta; Magnoliopsida; Poales; Poaceae. The record is from RNAcentral.